AUCAGAAAAAGGCAAACCUAUUGAGAAGUAGGGACGCAAAGUUACAGAUCCGUAAAAUGCAUAGGAUUUCGGAUGGCUGAGCUACCUGA
This 89-nucleotide non-coding RNA is filed under the name Gracilibacillus orientalis. RNAcentral describes it as "GEMM cis-regulatory element". It matches the Rfam family "c-di-GMP-I-GGC riboswitch aptamer". Lineage: Bacteria; Bacillati; Bacillota; Bacilli; Caryophanales; Bacillaceae. The record is from RNAcentral.